Molecule: ribosomal RNA, 720 nt
Filed under: Staphylococcus sp. V47-PCA-E14
Lineage: Bacteria; Bacillati; Bacillota; Bacilli; Caryophanales; Staphylococcaceae
Description: bacterial SSU rRNA
Rfam family: Bacterial small subunit ribosomal RNA
Source: RNAcentral
GUCGAGCGAACGGAUAAGGAGCUUGCUCCUUUGAAGUUAGCGGCGGACGGGUGAGUAACACGUGGGUAACCUACCUAUAAGACUGGGAUAACUUCGGGAAACCGGAGCUAAUACCGGAUAACAUUUAGAACCGCAUGGUUCUAAAGUGAAAGAUGGUUUUGCUAUCACUUAUAGAUGGACCCGCGCCGUAUUAGCUAGUUGGUAAGGUAACGGCUUACCAAGGCGACGAUACGUAGCCGACCUGAGAGGGUGAUCGGCCACACUGGAACUGAGACACGGUCCAGACUCCUACGGGAGGCAGCAGUAGGGAAUCUUCCGCAAUGGGCGAAAGCCUGACGGAGCAACGCCGCGUGAGUGAUGAAGGGUUUCGGCUCGUAAAACUCUGUUAUUAGGGAAGAACAAAUGUGUAAGUAACUGUGCACAUCUUGACGGUACCUAAUCAGAAAGCCACGGCUAACUACGUGCCAGCAGCCGCGGUAAUACGUAGGUGGCAAGCGUUAUCCGGAAUUAUUGGGCGUAAAGCGCGCGUAGGCGGUUUCUUAAGUCUGAUGUGAAAGCCCACGGCUCAACCGUGGAGGGUCAUUGGAAACUGGGAAACUUGAGUGCAGAAAGAGGAAAGUGGAAUUCCAUGUGUAGCGGUGAAAUGCGCAUAGAUAUGGAGGAACACCAGUGGCGAAGGCGACUUUCUGGUCUGUAACUGACGCUGAUGUGCGAAAGCGU